AUGGUAUGUUGUAAUGAUAUCCACCUUGCAAAAGCGUGUCAAUAUGCGGUUCUAUCCUUGGUGGGACCUUCGCAUCCCUUUAGGAUAGUGUCGCAUAUUGGGCGUGACGGGAGAGGGGCGAAUAGGUUUUUGGGAAGCGACUACGCGACUGCUCGCCGUUCGUCUACUUCCUCUACGUCCGCGUCGUCCUCGUCAUUACCAUGUCCACCAACGCCGAACGUGCCGCCGCCGAGAAGACCGAGGCCGACAAGAAGGCCGCCGAGGAUGCCACUGUUGUUGUCACCGCCGCCACGGCUUCUGCCUGGCCUACUGGAGGGUAUUACACGUUUAUCCCACUCCUGUUUAUUUUCGUAUUAG
Molecule: ribosomal RNA, 357 nt
Filed under: Triticum aestivum (bread wheat)
Lineage: Eukaryota; Viridiplantae; Streptophyta; Magnoliopsida; Poales; Poaceae
Description: partial small subunit ribosomal RNA
Source: RNAcentral